GUCUUCGUGGUGUAGUGGAGAGCACGCUGGUGUCAUGUUCCAUAGGUCCGUGGUUCGAAUCGCGGCGAAGGCA
Molecule: transfer RNA, 73 nt
Filed under: Stegodyphus mimosarum
Lineage: Eukaryota; Metazoa; Arthropoda; Arachnida; Araneae; Eresidae
Rfam family: tRNA
About the family: Transfer RNA (tRNA) molecules are approximately 80 nucleotides in length. Their secondary structure includes four short double-helical elements and three loops (D, anti-codon, and T loops).
Source: Rfam by way of RNAcentral